Non-coding RNA from Salmo salar (Atlantic salmon), 54 nucleotides. The record is from Rfam. Lineage: Eukaryota; Metazoa; Chordata; Actinopteri; Salmoniformes; Salmonidae.
AAUUAAUUAAUUUGUAAGUCGCUCUGGAUAAGAGCGUCUGCUAAAUGACACAAA